CAAUAGCGUAUAUUAAAGUUGUUGCAGUUAAAAAGCUCGUAGUCGGAUUUUGGCAUCACGCCGAACUGUCUGCCGAUUGGUAAGUACGGUUUGGCGGGUGCUUCCUUCCGGAGGCUCGUUCCCUUCUUCAUUGAAGGGUUCGUUGGUUCCGGGUCUUUUACUUUGAGAAAAUUAGAGUGUUCAAAGCAGGCCUAUGCUCUGAAUACAUUAGCAUGGAAUAAUACUAUAGGAUCUUGAUUCUAUUUUGUUGGUUUCUAGAAUUGAGAUAAUGAUUAAUAGGGACAAUUGGGGGCAUUCGUAUCAACACGUCAGAGGUGGAAUUCUUGGAUUGUGUUGCGACGAACUACUGCGAAAGCAUUUGCCAAGGAUGUUUUCAUUGAUCAAGAACGAAAGUAAGGGGAUCGAAGACGAUUAGAUACCAU
Molecule: ribosomal RNA, 422 nt
Filed under: uncultured eukaryote
Lineage: Eukaryota
Description: bacterial SSU rRNA
Rfam family: Eukaryotic small subunit ribosomal RNA
Source: RNAcentral